CCGAGUUUACAACUCCCAAACCCAAUGUGAACAGUACCAACUUGUUGCCUCGGCGGAUCAGCCCGCUCCCGGUAAAACGGGACGGCCCGCCAGAGGACCCCUAAACUCUGUUUCUAUAUGUAACUUCUGAGUAAAACCAUAAAUAAAUCA
Molecule: unclassified non-coding RNA, 150 nt
Filed under: soil metagenome
Description: partial internal transcribed spacer 1
Source: RNAcentral